CGGGAUGUAGCGCAGCUUGGUUACCGCGUCUGCUUUGGGAGCAGAAGACCAUCGGUUCGAAUCCGAUCAUCCCGACCA
Molecule: transfer RNA, 78 nt
Filed under: Bacilli bacterium
Lineage: Bacteria; Bacillati; Bacillota; Bacilli
Also listed under: 1 other name
Description: tRNA-Pro
Rfam family: tRNA
About the family: Transfer RNA (tRNA) molecules are approximately 80 nucleotides in length. Their secondary structure includes four short double-helical elements and three loops (D, anti-codon, and T loops). Further hydrogen bonds mediate the characteristic L-shaped molecular structure. tRNAs have two regions of fundamental functional importance: the anti-codon, which is responsible for specific mRNA codon recognition, and the 3' end, to which the tRNAs corresponding amino acid is attached (by aminoacyl-tRNA synthetases). tRNAs cope with the degeneracy of the genetic code in two manners: having more than one tRNA (with a specific anti-codon) for a particular amino acid; and 'wobble' base-pairing, i.e. permitting non-standard base-pairing at the 3rd anti-codon position.
Source: RNAcentral